GACGAACGCUGGCGGCGUGCUUAACACAUGCAAGUCGAACGGAAAGGCCCUGCUUUUGUGGGGUGCUCGAGUGGCGAACGGGUGAGUAACACGUGAGUAACCUGCCCUUGACUUUGGGAUAACUUCAGGAAACUGGGGCUAAUACCGGAUAGGAGCUCCUGCUGCAUGGUGGGGGUUGGAAAGUUUCGGCGGUUGGGGAUGGACUCGCGGCUUAUCAGCUUGUUGGUGGGGUAGCGGCUUACCAAGGCUUUGACGGGUAGCCGGCCUGAGAGGGUGACCGGCCACAUUGGGACUGAGAUACGGCCCAGACUCCUACGGGAGGCAGCAGUGGGGAAUAUUGCACAAUGGGCGGAAGCCUGAUGCAGCAACGCCGCGUGCGGGAUGACGGCCUUCGGGUUGUAAACCGCUUUCGCCUGUGACGAAGCGUGAGUGACGGUAAUGGGUAAAGAAGCACCGGCUAACUACGUG
RNAcentral lists this ribosomal RNA (468 nucleotides) under uncultured bacterium. RNAcentral describes it as "partial 16S ribosomal RNA". It matches the Rfam family "Bacterial small subunit ribosomal RNA", at positions 28 to 507 of the family's 1533-position model. The record is from RNAcentral.